GUGCAGCAGUCGCGAAUCUUUAGCAAUGCCCGAAAGGGUGACUAUGCGACGCCGCGUGAGCGAUGAAGUCCUUCGGGACGUAAAGCUCUGUCAGGUGGGAUGAAUUUUUUCGACCUUAACAGGGGUUGAAUUUGUACCGUACCACCAGAGGAAGCCACGGCUAACUCCGUGCCAGCAGCCGCGGUAAUACGGAGGUGGCAAGCGUUGUUCGGAUUUAUUGGGUGUAAAGGGCAUGUAGGUGUCCUAGUAAGUCCUGGCUGAAAUCCUUCGGCUCAACCGAAGAACGUGUCAGGAAACUAGCUGGGAUUGAGUACGGAAGAGGAGAACGGAA
Molecule: ribosomal RNA, 331 nt
Filed under: uncultured microorganism
Description: bacterial SSU rRNA
Rfam family: Bacterial small subunit ribosomal RNA
Source: RNAcentral